Argentina anserina (silverweed cinquefoil) is the source of this 2362-nucleotide RNA transcript. It is a transcript of the gene named transmembrane E3 ubiquitin-protein ligase FLY2-like, with no coding region annotated. NCBI's taxonomy places the organism in Eukaryota, Viridiplantae, Streptophyta, Magnoliopsida, Rosales, Rosaceae. The transcript has 15 exons. The record is from RefSeq and is a predicted model, not a curated record.
AGAGAGGUCAAUUAGUCGCUCACCUUUCACUUUCCUGGUUUGAUCGGCUUCUUCUAAUUCAAGCAACCCUUCCCCCCCUCCUACCUCAAGCUCUCUCUACUCCCAUGGGCUCCAAUCCCCAACCAAGACUCCACAUUCGCACUUGAAUCUCGGGCUUUUUCGCCAUGGGCACUCUCCGGAUAUUAGGGUUGUUGAUCAAGCUGAGGUUUCUCUUCUGGUUGCUCUCUGCUGCUCUGCUGCUUUCUCCGCCGCCGGUGGCCGGCCUCCGACCGUUAAGGGAACGGGCUCGCUCCUGGGGCGAUGAGUGGCUUUUUGUGAGAAAAGAUGAAAGUGAAUUCGGACCAUUUUCCGCGUGGAAUAUAACAGGAACUUAUAGAGGGACUUGGAAGUUCCCUGAUUCUGCAAAUAGCUCAUCCAGAUUUCCGGAAUUCAGGAAAUCCAGUGGCAGUUCUGUUAUUGAAUUAGUUAGCACACAAACAAAAAUAACGGGCGUACAUUAUGUGCAGGGUGUGAUUAUCUUCCAUGAUGUGUUUGACAAUGAUCACAAUGUGGGGGGCGUCCAAAUCAGAGUGGAAGGUGUAUUUAUAUGGCCGUUUAGACAGCUUCGAAUGGUAGCUAAUAGUGGAAAAGAGGGAGACUCAAACCAAGAGGAAGAUUAUUUUAUGUCGAACCCAUAUCACAUGCUUGGAGCUUUCUCUUCCCAAGUCUUUCAAGAAUCUCCACGAGAUAAGCUAUGGAAGAAAAAACAUUCACCAAUUUAUGAAAUGGAGAAACACUGUAAUAUAGAAAUUGCUGGCCAAAUUUCACGUGUAUCAUCUGCCCAUAAUGAUGGAGAUCGUGAUCGUUACCAGAUAGAAGGUUUGAUGGAGAGUCCUGCAGUAGAUGAUGAUGGAGAUUGCUUCUCACCCUUGAUUUUAAAUGCUACUUCUAUUAACGUGGAGGUCUACUAUAGUAAAGCAGUUAACUAUACCUUGAUGGUCACCUUUAUCUCCUUCCUACAAGUUCUUCUCUUAAUUCGGCAAAUGGAACAUAGCAACACUCAGUCGGGGGCUGCCAAAGUUUCGAUUGUAAUGAUUGGCCAACAGGCUAUCAUGGAUGCUUAUCUCUGCCUUCUACACUUGACAGCAGGAAUACUGGUUGAAUCUUUGUUCAAUGCUUUUGCCACCGCUGCGUUUUUCAAAUUUGUUGUCUUCUCAAUAUUUGAGAUGAGAUAUCUUCUUGCCAUAUGGAAAGCAAGUAGGCCUACAAAUAGUGGAGAAGGGUGGGAGACGAUGAGGCGUGAGCUUUCAGUUUUAUACAGCCGUUUCUAUGGAAUUCUCCUGGGAGGUAUUCUGGUCAUGUACGAAUUCCAUAACUUCCUGAGACCUAUUCUCCUCCUUAUGUACUCCUUUUGGAUACCUCAAAUAAUCACCAAUGUUAUCCGUGAUUCAAGAAAACCCUUGCACCCUCAUUACAUCUUAGGCAUAACUGUUACUCGGCUAGCGAUCCCGUUAUACAUAUUUGGGUGCCCUGACAACUUCAUGCGAAUUGAGCCUGACAAGAUUUGGUGUAUAUGUUUGAGUUUAUUUCUUGGACUGCAAGCAUCAAUUCUUCUUCUCCAGCAUUAUCUAGGCUCUCGGUGGUUCAUUCCGCGUCAGAUUCUACCCGAAAAAUAUAGCUACCAUAGAAGGUCUGAUCAGGAUACAAAUCACACCACAGACUGUGUCAUUUGCAUGACUGGAAUUGAUCUCACACAGCGUUCAGAUGAUUGCAUGGUGACACCGUGUGAUCAUUUCUUUCAUUCGGGUUGUUUACAAAGGUGGAUGGAUAUAAAGAUGGAGUGUCCAACUUGUCGGCGUCCACUGCCCCCUGCCUGAACUGUCUAUAUCACGUAUAGGAUCAACUGAUAUCACCCAACUGACUAAUUUUGAGUAUCAGCUUCCCACUUAUACUUAUAAUCCUGAAUCGCCUCUAUACUUCAUUUUAGGUUGGGUAUUCAAUCCAUUUUCUGCUUGAGUGCACCUUCGGGAAAAGGUUGAGAUACAACAGAAUCAAUUUCUGAACUCAACAGUCUGCAAUAGUUUGCCGCUCUUGACCAUGAUUAUUUUCAUUUUUGUAUGUUGUAUAAUUAGUUAGCAAUCCAAACAUCCAGUGGGUCGUUCAGAAGAUGGAUAAAAGAAACAAGAAAAGAAAGUGGCAAGGGUGUUCAGUAGUAAUUUAGUGUUGUAUCACCACUGUGAUUAGACCGAACUGUUCUGACUGUAAAACUGUAUCUCAUGAUGUAGGCGUUUUGAAGUAAUUCAAAAAGGAAAAAUGAGAAGUUGCACAUAUGAGGCCAGGACUUGCCCAGUUUCAUACUAUGCGUCUAUUUUAAUGUUUGCUC